GUCUAUGGCCAUGCUACUCUGAACAAGCCCGAUCUCAUCUGAUCUCGGAAGCCAAGCAAGGUCGGGCCUGGUUAGUACUUGGAUGGGAGACCACCUAGGAAGACCAGAUGCUGUAGACA
RNAcentral lists this ribosomal RNA (119 nucleotides) under Pteropus alecto (black flying fox). RNAcentral also lists the same sequence under 1 other name. Lineage: Eukaryota; Metazoa; Chordata; Mammalia; Chiroptera; Pteropodidae. The record is from RNAcentral.